AUCACCUGGGCAUCUUGUUAAAUUGCAGGUUCUGAUUUAGUAAUCCUGGGGUCUGACCUGGGAGUCUGCAUUUUUAACAAAUUCCCAGGUGAUGCCAG
RNAcentral lists this microRNA precursor (98 nucleotides) under Pteropus alecto (black flying fox). RNAcentral describes it as "mir-544 microRNA precursor family". It matches the Rfam family "mir-544 microRNA precursor family". Lineage: Eukaryota; Metazoa; Chordata; Mammalia; Chiroptera; Pteropodidae. The record is from Rfam by way of RNAcentral.